Molecule: transfer RNA, 76 nt
Filed under: Nitrospira sp.
Lineage: Bacteria; Pseudomonadati; Nitrospirota; Nitrospiria; Nitrospirales; Nitrospiraceae
Also listed under: 6 other names
Description: tRNA-Ala
Rfam family: tRNA
About the family: Transfer RNA (tRNA) molecules are approximately 80 nucleotides in length.
Source: RNAcentral
GGGGCUGUAGCUCAGCUGGGAGAGCACCUGGUUUGCAACCAGGGGGUCGGCGGUUCGAUCCCGCUCAGCUCCACCA